RNAcentral lists this ribosomal RNA (408 nucleotides) under uncultured bacterium. RNAcentral's name for it is "partial 16S ribosomal RNA". It matches the Rfam family "Bacterial small subunit ribosomal RNA", at positions 28 to 526 of the family's 1533-position model. The record is from RNAcentral.
GACGAACGCUGGCGGCGUGCUUAACACAUGCAAGUCGAACGAAGUGGCGAACGGGUGAGUAACGCGUAAUCAACCUGCCCUUCAGAGGGGGACAACAGGUGGAAACGACUGCUAAUACCGCAUACUGAAGGAGGGGAUGGCGUCUGAUUCGCUAGUUGGAGGGUUAACGGCCCACCAAGGCGAUGAUAAGUAGCAGGUCGUAGUGGAUGAACGGCCACAGUGGGACUGAUACACGGCCCAGACUCCUCCGGGAGGCAGCAUGGGGGAAUCUUCCGCAAUGGACGAAAGUCUGACGGAGCAACGCCGCGUGAGUGAUGACGGCCUUCGGGUUGUAAAGCUCUGUUAAUCGGGACGCGGUACCGGAAUAGAAAGCCACGGCUAACUACGUGCCAGCAGCCGCGGUAAUUC